Molecule: ribosomal RNA, 1389 nt
Filed under: uncultured bacterium
Lineage: Bacteria
Description: partial 16S ribosomal RNA
Rfam family: Bacterial small subunit ribosomal RNA
Source: RNAcentral
AGAGUUUGAUCCUGGCUCAGAUUGAUCGCUGGCGGCAGGCCUAACACAUGCAAGUCGAGCGGUAGAGAGGAGCUUGCUCCUCUUGAGAGCGGCGGACGGGUGAGUAAUGCCUAGGAAUCUGCCUGGUAGUGGGGGAUAACGUUCGGAAACGGACGCUAAUACCGCAUACGUCCUACGGGAGAAAGCAGGGGACCUUCGGGCCUUGCGCUAUCAGAUGAGCCUAGGUCGGAUUAGCUAGUUGGUGAGGUAAUGGCUCACCAAGGCGACGAUCCGUAACUGGCCUGAGAGGAUGAUCAGUCACACUGGAACUGAGACACGGUCCAGACUCCUACGGGAGGCAGCAGUGGGGAAUAUUGGACAAUGGGCGAAAGCCUGAUCCAGCCAUGCCGCGUGUGUGAAGAAGGUCUUCGGAUUGUAAAGCACUUUAAGUUGGGAGGAAGGGCAGUAAAUUAAUACUUUGCUGUUUUGACGUUACCGACAGAAUAAGCACCGGCUAACUCUGUGCCAGCAGCCGCGGUAAUACAGAGGGUGCAAGCGUUAAUCGGAAUUACUGGGCGUAAAGCGCGCGUAGGUGGUUUGUUAAGUUGGAUGUGAAAUCCCCGGGCUCAACCUGGGAACUGCAUUCAAAACUGACUGACUAGAGUAUGGUAGAGGGUGGUGGAAUUUCCUGUGUAGCAGUGAAAUGCGUAGAUAUGUGGAGGAACACCGAUGGCGAAGGCAGCCCCCUGGGUCAAGAUUGACGCUCAUGCACGAAAGCGUGGGGAGCAAACAGGAUUAGAUACCCUGGUAGUCCACGCCCUAAACGAUGUCUACUAGUUGUCGGGUCUUAAUUGACUUGGUAACGCAGCUAACGCGUGAAGUAGACCGCCUGGGGAGUACGGUCGCAAGAUUAAAACUCAAAGGAAUUGACGGGGACCCGCACAAGCGGUGGAUGAUGUGGAUUAAUUCGAUGCAACGCGAAAAACCUUACCUACCCUUGACAUGGCUGGAAUCCUUGAGAGAUCAGGGAGUGCUCGAAAGAGAACCAGUACACAGGUGCUGCAUGGCUGUCGUCAGCUCGUGUCGUGAGAUGUUGGGUUAAGUCCCGCAACGAGCGCAACCCUUGUCAUUAGUUGCUACGAAAGGGCACUCUAAUGAGACUGCCGGUGACAAACCGGAGGAAGGUGGGGAUGACGUCAAGUCCUCAUGGCCCUUAUGGGUAGGGCUUCACACGUCAUACAAUGGUACAUACAGAGCGCCGCCAACCCGCGAGGGGGAGCUAAUCGCAGAAAGUGUAUCGUAGUCCGGAUUGUAGUCUGCAACUCGACUGCAUGAAGUUGGAAUCGCUAGUAAUCGCGGAUCAGCAUGUCGCGGUGAAUACGUUCCCGGGUCUUGCACUCAAAGCCCGUC